UCGGCAAUGGGCGAAAGCCUGACCGAGCGACGCCGCGUGUGCGAUGAAGGCCCUUCGGGUUGUAAAGCACUGUCGAGAGGAAACAAGCCGCAAGGUUGAGUGACCUCUGGAGGAAGCACGGGCUAAGUUCGUGCCAGCAGCCGCGGUAAGACGAACCGUGCGAACGUUGUUCGGAAUCACUGGGCUUAAAGGGUGCGUAGGCGGAAUGGCAAGUCGGAGGUGAAAGCCCCCAGCUUAACUGGGGAAGUGCCCUCGAUACUGCUGUUCUCGAGAGAGGUAGGGGCGUGUGGAACUUCCGGUGGAGCGGUGAAAUGCGUAGAUAUCGGAAGGAACGCCGGUGGCGAAAGCGAUGCGCUGGACCUUUUCUGACGCUGAGGCACGAAAGCUAGGGGAGCGAACGGGAUUAGAUACCCCGGUAGUCCUAGCCCUAAACGAUGGGUACUGGGUUGCGGGUCAGACAUGGACUCGCAGCCGAAGCAAAAGUGGUAAGUACCCCGCCUGGGGAGUAUGGUCGCAAGGCUGAAACUCAAAGG
This 533-nucleotide ribosomal RNA is filed under the name uncultured Planctomycetota bacterium. RNAcentral describes it as "bacterial SSU rRNA". It matches the Rfam family "Bacterial small subunit ribosomal RNA", at positions 365 to 907 of the family's 1533-position model. Lineage: Bacteria; Pseudomonadati; Planctomycetota. The record is from RNAcentral.